This 1225-nucleotide ribosomal RNA is filed under the name Modulus modulus. RNAcentral's name for it is "partial 16S ribosomal RNA". The stretch from base 629 to 1225 matches the Rfam family "Archaeal large subunit ribosomal RNA", at positions 1423 to 2681 of the family's 2987-position model. Lineage: Eukaryota; Metazoa; Mollusca; Gastropoda; Modulidae. The record is from RNAcentral.
UUACUUAUUAUUAUUCACUAAUAUUAUAAAAAGUUCUUUGAAACAUCAAAAAAUAAAGUAAUGGUGAAAGAAAGUUUAUUAUUUUUUAAAAAGUACCGCAGGGGAACAUUAUAAAUUGAAAAAUUCAGCUAUUUCAAGCGUACUUUUUGCAUCACGGCCUAGCAAGAUAAAAAUAGGUUUCUAUUUUCUAGAAGGUUAGUGAGCUAUCUUUUUUAGAUGUAUUAGUAUCUAUCUCUAGAUGUAGAAGAAUUUAAGUAAUAAAAAAAGAUAGAGAUGAGAUUUCAUUCGCACUAACGAUAGCUAGUUCUUACUGAAAAAUAUAGAAGUAUUAAGACAAGUAGAAUUUAAAUCAAACAAAAAUUGCUUUAAUUACCUUGAUCUCCAGCCUCUUGAGGAUAAGCUCAGAGGCUUCUGUUAUGGCACUGUAUUAUUUUAGUAGUUAUUGUGUGGGCCUAAAAUUAGCCAGCACGAAAGUUUGUUAUAAAAUAAACUAAAUAUCUAAUAAGAUUGAUAUACAUCUAUACCUAAAAACAUAGGUAAGUAAAGACUAGAAUUUUUAAGUUAAUAUACCUAUGCUAGGAUGAGUAUUUUAAUAAAGCUACAGUUAAGAUUAUUUUAAAAAGUUUUUCUCCCAGCUUAUGUUUUAAAUAUUAAUUAAGAGGAAGGAACUCGGCAAAAUUAUUGUUCCGCCUGUUUAUCAAAAACAUGGCUCCUUGACCUAUAUUAAUAAGGAGUCGAGCCUGCCCAGUGAAUUUUUUAACGGCCGCGGUACUCUGACCGUGCAAAGGUAGCAUAAUCAUUUUGCCUUAUAAUUGAAGGCUAGUAUGAAUGGUUUGACGAGAGCAAUACUGUCUCCCUCUUAUUUUUUAGAACUUGACUUUUAGGUGAAGAGGCCUAAGUUAGAUUGAAGGACAAGAAGACCCUGUCGAGCUUAAAAGAAUUUGCAGAAGUUAAUAUUAAGUAAGAUAAAUAAUCUGUUAAGCUUUUUAGUUGGGGCGACUAAGGAACAAAAAAAGCUUCUUAAACAAAAUAAAUAUAUAAAUAUAGAUCCGGUUUUACCGAUUUAAAGAAUUAGCUACCGCAGGGAUAACAGCAUAAUCUCUUCUGAGAGACCUAAUCGAAGAAGGGGGUUGUGACCUCGAUGUUGGACUAGAAUAACCUAAAGAUGCAGAAGUCUUUUAGGGUCGGUCUGUUCGACCGUUAAAAUUCUACGUGAUCUGAGUUC